This 350-nucleotide RNase P RNA is filed under the name Catenibacillus scindens. RNAcentral describes it as "intestinal bacterium CG19-1 Bacterial RNase P class A". It matches the Rfam family "Bacterial RNase P class A". From Rfam's summary of the family: Ribonuclease P (RNase P) is a ubiquitous endoribonuclease, found in archaea, bacteria and eukarya as well as chloroplasts and mitochondria. The record is from Rfam by way of RNAcentral. Lineage: Bacteria; Bacillati; Bacillota; Clostridia; Lachnospirales; Lachnospiraceae.
CAAGUCUGCUAAAUGGUCGCGGCUGCACAGACGAAAGGGUGCAGGUGAGGAAAGUCCGGGCUUCACAGGGCAGGAUGCCGGAUAACGUCCGGUGGAGGCGACUCUAAGGAAAGUGCAACAGAAAUAAACCGCCGGCAUUUUUGCCGGUAAGGGUGGAAAGGCGGUGUAAGAGACCACCGUCAGCCUGGCGACAGGCUGAGCCAUGUAAACCCCAUCCGAAGCAAGACCGCACAUAAAGCAAUACGGCGGCCCGUCGUGCUUUAGGGUAGGUCGCUGGAUUCUGACGGCAACGUCAGAACUAGAUAGAUGACCAUUCAAGACAUAACCCGGCUUAUCGGCAGACUUGUGUU